This is a long non-coding RNA of Patella vulgata (common limpet), 710 nucleotides long. RefSeq lists it as uncharacterized. Lineage: Eukaryota; Metazoa; Mollusca; Gastropoda; Patellidae. The transcript has 3 exons. The record is from RefSeq and is a predicted model, not a curated record.
CAUCGCUUACCCAAAAACAACAGAGUGGAGAGAGAAUCAUUACGUAUCAUACAGUCUACCAGAUCAGACCCGAUAAAUGACAAGACCUUGACAAUAUGUUCAAGACACGUUGAGCCGGAUUAUUUCGUUGAAAAAAUGUUUACAAAAAUUCUGGGUCCACAUAUCGAAGAUUAAAAGAAGGGUUAGGGAGACUAUCAACCUUAAUUCUUCUACAGAAAAGCCUAACAACAAAGAAAUUGAAUCCAAGGAAGUCACCGAGUCCAAGGAAAACCGAGGAAACUCAAUGUUUACAUAUGAACGAAGUAACCUUUCAGAUGUUGCAGAAAUCAUUUUUAUGUCAAAUGCCUGCUUUGUGGCUAUGUCAGUCUUCAAGUGAUUAUAUCUAUCUGUUUAAAACUGAAGAUAAAAGUGUAACAUACCAUUUAACCAUAGACAAGGACUUGAAUUGUGAAUUUUUGUUUCCUGUUCAAAUUAAAGUUACAUCUAUAGAUUUACUUAUAAGAACUGUUGAGAAUAUGAAGAUAUGUAGGGGCAUAACAUCAAAACAUUUACAGUCUUAUUCUCAAUGUCAGCCUACAACUGUAAGAUAUAUCAGACAGGUUGAUCUUUUCAUGAACACAAAUAAGUCAACAUUUAAAUUACGAAAUCUGUGUACUUGCUUCUGUAUGUAAUAGUUUUCUUGAGGACACUCAAAUCGAAAUUUGUUUAAG